UACGUAGGGUGCAAGCGUUAAUCGGAAUUACUGGGCGUAAAGCGUGCGCAGGCGGUUUUGUAAGUCUGACGUGAAAUCCCCGGGCUCAACCUGGGAAUUGCGUUGGAGACUGCAAGGCUAGAAUCUGGCAGAGGGGGGUAGAAUUCCACGUGUAGCAGUGAAAUGCGUAGAGAUGUGGAGGAACACCGAUGGCGAAGGCAGCCCCCAGGGUCAAGAUUGACGCUCAUGCACGAAAGCGUGGGGAGCAAACAGG
RNAcentral lists this ribosomal RNA (253 nucleotides) under uncultured bacterium. RNAcentral describes it as "partial 16S ribosomal RNA". It matches the Rfam family "Bacterial small subunit ribosomal RNA", at positions 524 to 776 of the family's 1533-position model. The record is from RNAcentral.